Molecule: microRNA precursor, 52 nt
Filed under: Nematostella vectensis (starlet sea anemone)
Lineage: Eukaryota; Metazoa; Cnidaria; Anthozoa; Actiniaria; Edwardsiidae
Description: Nve-Mir-2025_pre stem-loop
Source: RNAcentral
AGCUUUCGAUGGCUAGAAAAUCCUUAGUGAUUUUUUAGCCCGCGGAAGUUGU